Molecule: small nucleolar RNA, 134 nt
Organism: Mirounga angustirostris (Northern elephant seal)
Lineage: Eukaryota; Metazoa; Chordata; Mammalia; Carnivora; Phocidae
Product: small nucleolar RNA SNORA70
Exons: 1
Source: RefSeq, a predicted model, not a curated record
CUGCAACCAAUUAAGCCAAGUGUGCUCUUUCUCCAUGGGGGCCCCGUGUGCCAUGGCUGCAAACAGGAGCCUCCUUGGUAGUGUAUGCAGCCUGUUGAUUGUAUGGGUUGCCCAAAGGGACCUUGGAGACAGCU